This 497-nucleotide ribosomal RNA is filed under the name uncultured bacterium. Its description in RNAcentral is "partial 16S ribosomal RNA". It matches the Rfam family "Bacterial small subunit ribosomal RNA", at positions 29 to 507 of the family's 1533-position model. The record is from RNAcentral.
AAUGAACGCUGGCGGCGUGCCUAACACAUGCAAGUCGAGCGAACGCACGGUAAGAGUGCUUCCCUACCGUUAGCGCGUGACGGGCGAGUAAGACGUGCAUAAUCAUCCUAUUUUACGUGGAUGAUAUCGGAAAACCGUAGAUAAUAACGCAGAAUACUUCGUACCGCAUAGAUCAAACGAGAUUGGGUGUCUUCCCGACUCUAUUAGACGAUUUCGCGCUGCAUUAGCUAGUUGGUAAGGUAACGGCCUACCAAGGCAACGAUGCAUAGCUGACCUGAGAGGAUGAUCAGCCACACUGGAACUGAGACACGGUCCAGACUCCUACGGGAGGCAGCAGUAGGGAAUAUUGCACAAUGGGCGAAAGCCUGACAGAGCAAUACCGCGUGGGUGAUGAAGGUCUUCGGAUCGUAAAGCCCUUUUAUUGGGGAAGAAAAUAUGCAGAUUUAUAUCCGGCCAUUUUGACGGUACCUAAACAGUAAGCAACGGCUAACUUCGUG